AAUCCAUAGGUUAAUGAGGCGAACCGGGGGAACUGAAACAUCUAAGUACCCCGAGGAAAAGAAAUCAACCGAGAUUCCCCCAGUAGCGGCGAGCGAACGGGGAGGAGCCCAGAGCCUGAAUCAGCAUGUGUGUUAGUGGAAGCGUCUGGAAAGGCGCGCGAUACAGGGUGACAGCCCCGUACACAAAAGCGCAUGUGCUGUGAGCUCGAUGAGUAGGGCGGGACACGUGGUAUCCUGUCUGAAUAUGGGGGGACCAUCCUCCAAGGCUAAAUACUCCUGACUGACCGAUAGUGAACCAGUACCGUGAGGGAAAGGCGAAAAGAACCCCGGCGAGGGGAGUGAAAAAGAACCUGAAACCGUGUACGUACAAGCAGUGGGAGCACCCUUUGGGUGUGACUGCGUACCUUUUGUAUAAUGGGUCAGCGACUUAUAUUCUGUAGCAAGGUUAACCGAAUAGGGGAGCCGGAGGGAAACCGAGUCUUAACCGGGCGUUAAGUUGCAGGGUAUAGACCCGAAACCCGGUGAUCUAGCCAUGGGCAGGUUGAAGGUUGGGUAACACUAACUGGAGGACCGAACCGACUAAUGUUGAAAAAUUAGCGGAUGACCUGUGGCUGGGGGUGAAAGGCCAAUCAAACCGGGAGAUAGCUGGUUCUCCCCGAAAGCUAUUUAGGUAGCGCCUCGUGAAUUCAUCUCCGGGGGUAGAGCACUGUUUCGGCUAGGGGGCCAUCCCGGCUUACCAACCCGAUGCAAACUGCGAAUACCGGAGAAUGUUAUCACGGGAGACACACGGCGGGUGCUAACGUCCGUCGUGAAGAGGGAAACAACCCAGACCGCCAGCUAAGGUCCCAAAGUCAUGGUUAAGUGGGAAACGAUGUGGGAAGGCCCAGACAGCCAGGAUGUUGGCUUAGAAGCAGCCAUCAUUUAAAGAAAGCGUAAUAGCUCACUGGUCGAGUCGGCCUGCGCGGAAGAUGUAACGGGGCUAAACCAUGCACCGAAGCUGCGGCAGCGACACUGUGUGUUGUUGGGUAGGGGAGCGUUCUGUAAGCCUGUGAAGGUGUGUCGUGAGGCAUGCUGGAGGUAUCAGAAGUGCGAAUGCUGACAUAAGUAACGAUAAAGCGGGUGAAAAGCCCGCUCGCCGGAAGACCAAGGGUUCCUGUCCAACGUUAAUCGGGGCAGGGUGAGUCGACCCCUAAGGCGAGGCCGAAAGGCGUAGUCGAUGGGAAACGGGUUAAUAUUCCCGUACUUGGUGUUACUGCGAAGGGGGGACGGAGAAGGCUAUGUUGGCCGGGCGACGGUUGUCCCGGUUUAAGCGUGUAGGUGUGUGUUCCAGGUAAAUCCGGUUCACUUUAACACUGAGGCGUGACGACGAGGCACUACGGUGCUGAAGCAACAAAUGCCCUGCUUCCAGGAAAAGCCUCUAAGCAUCAGGUAACAUCAAAUCGUACCCCAAACCGACACAGGUGGUCAGGUAGAGAAUACCAAGGCGCUUGAGAGAACUCGGGUGAAGGAACUAGGCAAAAUGGUGCCGUAACUUCGGGAGAAGGCACGCUGACACGUAGGUGAAGUGAUUUACUCAUGGAGCUGAAGUCAGUCGAAGAUACCAGCUGGCUGCAACUGUUUAUUAAAAACACAGCACUGUGCAAACACGAAAGUGGACGUAUACGGUGUGACGCCUGCCCGGUGCCGGAAGGUUAAUUGAUGGGGUCAGCGCAAGCGAAGCUCCUGAUCGAAGCCCCGGUAAACGGCGGCCGUAACUAUAACGGUCCUAAGGUAGCGAAAUUCCUUGUCGGGUAAGUUCCGACCUGCACGAAUGGCGUAAUGAUGGCCAGGCUGUCUCCACCCGAGACUCAGUGAAAUUGAACUCGCUGUGAAGAUGCAGUGUACCCGCGGCAAGACGGAAAGACCCCGUGAACCUUUACUAUAGCUUGACACUGAACAUUGAGCCUUGAUGUGUAGGAUAGGUGGGAGGCUUUGAAGUGUGGACGCCAGUCUGCAUGGAGCCGACCUUGAAAUACCACCCUUUAAUGUUUGAUGUUCUAACGUGGACCCGUUACCCGGGUUGCGGACAGUGUCUGGUGGGUAGUUUGACUGGGGCGGUCUCCUCCUAAAGAGUAACGGAGGAGCACGAAGGUUGGCUAAUCCUGGUCGGACAUCAGGAGGUUAGUGCAAUGGCAUAAGCCAGCUUGACUGCGAGCGUGACGGCGCGAGCAGGUGCGAAAGCAGGUCAUAGUGAUCCGGUGGUUCUGAAUGGAAGGGCCAUCGCUCAACGGAUAAAAGGUACUCCGGGGAUAACAGGCUGAUACCGCCCAAGAGUUCAUAUCGACGGCGGUGUUUGGCACCUCGAUGUCGGCUCAUCACAUCCUGGGGCUGAAGUAGGUCCCAAGGGUAUGGCUGUUCGCCAUUUAAAGUGGUACGCGAGCUGGGUUUAGAACGUCGUGAGACAGUUCGGUCCCUAUCUGCCGUGGGCGCUGGAGAACUGAGGGGGGCUGCUCCUAGUACGAGAGGACCGGAGUGGACGCAUCACUGGUGUUCGGGUUGUCAUGCCAAUGGCACUGCCCGGUAGCUAAAUGCGGAAGAGAUAAGUGCUGAAAGCAUCUAAGCACGAAACUUGCCCCGAGAUGAGUUCUCCCUGAGACUUAAAGUCUCCUGAAGGAACGUUGAAGACGACGACGUUGAUAGGCCGGGUGUGUAAGCGCAGCGAUG
This 2703-nucleotide ribosomal RNA is filed under the name Salmonella enterica subsp. enterica serovar Enteritidis. RNAcentral's name for it is "partial 23S ribosomal RNA". It matches the Rfam family "Bacterial large subunit ribosomal RNA". Lineage: Bacteria; Pseudomonadati; Pseudomonadota; Gammaproteobacteria; Enterobacterales; Enterobacteriaceae. The record is from RNAcentral.